Molecule: ribosomal RNA, 474 nt
Filed under: uncultured organism
Description: partial 16S ribosomal RNA
Rfam family: Bacterial small subunit ribosomal RNA
Source: RNAcentral
ACACUCCUACGGGAGGCAGCAGUGGGGAAUUUUGGACAAUGGGCGAAAGCCUGAUCCAGCAAUGCCGCGUGAGUGAAGAAGGCCUACGGGUUGUAAAGCUCUUUUGUCAGGGAAGAAACGGUGAAAGCUAAUAUCUUUUGCUAAUGACGGUACCUGAAGAAUAAGCACCGGCUAACUACGUGCCAGCAGCCGCGGUAAUACGUAGGGUGCAAGCGUUAAUCGGAAUUACUGGGCGUAAAGCGUGCGCAGGCGGUUUUGUAAGUCUGAUGUGAAAUCCCCGGGCUCAACCUGGGAAUUGCAUUGGGGACUGCAAGGCUAGAAUCUGGCAGAGGGGGGUAGAAUUCCACGUGUAGCAGUGAAAUGCGUAGAUAUGUGGAGGAAAACCGAUGGCGAAGGCAGCCCCCUGGGUCAAGAUUGACGCUCAUGCACGAAAGCGUGGGGAGCAAACAGGAUUAGAUACCCGAGUAGUCCCAU